Long non-coding RNA from Carassius carassius (crucian carp), 367 nucleotides. RefSeq lists it as uncharacterized. NCBI's taxonomy places the organism in Eukaryota, Metazoa, Chordata, Actinopteri, Cypriniformes, Cyprinidae. The record is from RefSeq and is a predicted model, not a curated record. The transcript has 3 exons.
ACUCAUCAUGCUCUGAGAGUCCAUUCUGGGGGCAAAUAGGUGGAUGCUUUCCAUCGAGGGCAGAGUUCUCCAACCAGUGACCGUUCCGAAUUCACUUCUGCUCUGGCUGUGCUUUUUGCAUCAUACUAUAUAUUUAACAUGGAAUAUCCUGCGGAGGCAACCACUACAUUAUAAUUUAUCCAGAGGGUAGAAGACUCCAGCCCAGGAAAUUGACUAAUUCAGGCCCGUUUCUGAAGAAAAAUACAGUUCUGGGAGAAAAACAACAUUCAGGGUGCAAAAAAUCUACUGUUUGAAAUCCUGCUGUUUUUAAAUAAUUUAAUUUGCCUUUUAUACAUUCUAAUUUUAACCGAACAUUUUAAUACAUUUG